GGCCUCCUGGUCCUUGUCAGAGGCUGUUAUUGCACUGAUUGUAGAGAAAGAGAUGGGAAAGUAAACCUACCCUGUAUGCACCUCACCCCAGAUCCUGUGCCUAUAUUCUGAAUGGGAAAAACAUGG
Small nucleolar RNA from Castor canadensis (American beaver), 126 nucleotides. The record is from Ensembl. NCBI's taxonomy places the organism in Eukaryota, Metazoa, Chordata, Mammalia, Rodentia, Castoridae.